AACGAACGCUGGCGGCAGGCCUAAUACAUGCAAGUCGAGCGCAUUCUUCGGAAUGAGCGGCGGACGGGUGAGUAACGCGUGGGAAUAUGCCCUUCUCUAAGGAGUAGCCUCUGGAAACGGAGAGUAAUACCUUAUACGCCCUUCGGGGGAAAGAUUUAUCGGAGAAGGAUUAGCCCGCGUUAGAUUAGGUAGUUGGUGGGGUAAUGGCCUACCAAGCCUACGAUCUAUAGCUGGUUUGAGAGGAUGAUCAGCCACACUGGGACUGAGACACGGCCCAGACUCCUACGGGAGGCAGCAGUAGGGAAUCUUAGACAAUGGGGGCAACCCUGAUCUAGCCAUGCCGCGUGUGUGAUGAAGGCCCUAGGGUCGUAAAGCACUUUCGCCAGAGAUGAUAAUGACAGUAUCUGGUAAAGAAACCCCGGCUAACUCCGUGCCAGCAGCCGCGGUAAUACGGAGGGGGUUAGCGUUGUUCGGAAUUACUGGGCGUAAAGCGCACGUAGGCGGAUUAGUAAGUUAGAGGUGAAAUCCCAGGGCUCAACCCUGGAACUGCCUUUAAUACUGCUAGUCUUGAGUUCGAGAGAGGUAAGUGGAAUUCCGAGUGUAGAGGUGAAAUUCGUAGAUAUUCGGAGGAACACCAGUGGCGAAGGCGGCUUACUGGCUCGAUACUGACGCUGAGGUGCGAAAGUGUGGGGAGCAAACAGGAUUAGAUACCCUGGUAGUCCACACCGUAAACGAUGAAUGCCAGACGUCAGCAAGUAUACUUGUUGGUGUCACACCUAACGGAUUAAGCAUUCCGCCUGGGGAGUACGGUCGCAAGAUUAAAACUCAAAGGAAUUGACGGGGGCCCGCACAAGCGGUGGAGCAUGUGGUUUAAUUCGAAGCAACGCGCAGAACCUUACCAACCCUUGACAUCCUGUGCUACUACCAGAGAUGGUACGUUCCCUUCGGGGACGCAGUGACAGGUGCUGCAUGGCUGUCGUCAGCUCGUGUCGUGAGAUGUUCGGUUAAGUCCGGCAACGAGCGCAACCCACAUCUUUAGUUGCCAGCAGGUUAAGCUGGGCACUCUAGAGAAACUGCCCGUGAUAAGCGGGAGGAAGGUGUGGAUGACGUCAAGUCCUCAUGGCCCUUACGGGUUGGGCUACACACGUGCUACAAUGGCAGUGACAAUGGGUUAAUCCCCAAAAGCUGUCUCAGUUCGGAUUGGGGUCUGCAACUCGACCCCAUGAAGUCGGAAUCGCUAGUAAUCGCGUAACAGCAUGACGCGGUGAAUACGUUCCCGGGCCUUGUACACACCGCCCGUCACACCAUGGGAGUUGGUUCUACCCGACGACGCUGCGCUAACCCUUCGGGGAGGCAGGCGGCCACGGUAGGAUCAGCGACUGGGGUGAAGUCGUAACAAGGUAGCCGUAGGGGAACCUGCGGCUGGAUCACCUCCUUUCUAAGGAUGAUCUUAGCAGCAAGACUUUUGUCUUACUCGUAGAUCACUUAGCAUGAUAUGUCCUUUGCAUAUCAACACAUCAGUUCAUCUUUUGAUGGACUUGGGCCGAGCCGUCCUCAUAUCUCUUCAGACAUUGCAAGCCUUGAGCUUGUAUAAACCGCCUGAUUGGACCACCACCGGCCCUUUCGGCAGACUUGCUUUGCAGGUCACCUGUCGGGCGUUGUUGAUCUUGCUUUGCAAGAUCCACUGGGUCGGUAGCUCAGGUGGUUAGAGCGCACGCCUGAUAAGCGUGAGGUCGGAGGUUCAAGUCCUCCUCGACCCACCAUAGAUUACACCCUUAAAGGGGGCGUUAGCUCAGCUGGGAGAGCACCUGCUUUGCAAGCAGGGGGUCAUCGGUUCGAUCCCGAUACGCUCCACCAAGGAUUUAAGUUUGAAAGUUAAGCAACUUUGGUUGUUUUGCUGUCCAACUUGGACUUUGUUCAGUCUUCGGACUGACUUGACAUCGUAAAGAGAGAUACAAACAUCAGAAUUACUGAUGCACCGAGUAAGGUGUAUCGUGAUGUUGUUUGGCAUCGCGUGAGAUGGGUAUGAGUGAUUCAUAUCUGUUUUAUAUGGUGCCUUUUAUGGCAACAGUUCACAAAGUAAUUUUGUUCCAAGUUAAGUACAAUUAUACCUGAGCAAAUCCGCAAGGUUUUGCUCAUCGUCGCUGCUCUAUCCGGGCAGUGGCGGCACGAAUGUUGCCCCCUCUUUGAACCAGCGGGGGCCCAUGGGAAUAAUUUUGUAUGACUUUUGGUUCAGAAUUUAGUCAUCUUCGGAUGAUGUUGGCAGGACACGCAAAAGGCCUGUCUUCUUCUGGAUCAAAUCAAGCGCGAAAAGGGCGUUUGGUGAAUGCCUUGGCAGUAAGAGGCGAUGAAGGACGUGAUACUCUGCGAUAAGUUAUGGGGAGCUGAGAAUAAGCUUUGAUCCAUAAAUUU
This 2412-nucleotide ribosomal RNA is filed under the name uncultured marine bacterium. RNAcentral's name for it is "bacterial SSU rRNA". The stretch from base 1 to 1438 matches the Rfam family "Bacterial small subunit ribosomal RNA". The record is from RNAcentral.